CUAUAGGUGUCAUACCACCAAUUACUCCCUCAAAUUUAGAACGUAUGUGAAAGUAGGCCUACUCGGACAAAAAAUAGUGCAUUUGAUGUCAUUGUUUACUUAAACUAACCAACAAAUUGGCAGAAAUGAAACUUUUGGUGAAAGAGAAAUAUAUUGAGACCAUUUUGAGCUAAAAUUUACUUGUUUAUGAGUUUGCAUUCAAAAUUGAGGAUUAAUGCACUCCAUAGUAUACUAAUUUAAGAUUUCCAGAAAACCAGGGGUUAUUUUUAGUGGUACCUCUAUUCGGAAGGCCUUUUCUUUUUUUAUAUGAUUUUAAACACCUGUUGAAAUUUGGCAUGUAGAAAGCUGAUACAUGUACGAUUCAGGAUAUACCUGGUUUCUAUGAAGUUAAACUUAAGGUAAAAUAUUUAGAAAGCUGUGAAAAUUAUAAAAUUUGGUUGAACAGAU
Molecule: long non-coding RNA, 447 nt
Filed under: Mytilus galloprovincialis (Mediterranean mussel)
Lineage: Eukaryota; Metazoa; Mollusca; Bivalvia; Mytilida; Mytilidae
Source: RNAcentral